GACGAACGCUGGCGGCGUGCUUAACACAUGCAAGUCGAACGGAAAGGCCCUGCUUUUGUGGGGUGCUCGAGUGGCGAACGGGUGAGUAACACGUGAGUAACCUGCCCUUGACUUUGGGAUAACUUCAGGAAACUGGGGCUAAUACCGGAUAGGAGCUCCUGCUGCAUGGUGGGGGUUGGAAAGUUUCGGCGGUUGGGGAUGGACUCGCGGCUUAUCAGCUUGUUGGUGGGGUAGUGGCUUGCCAAGGCUUUGACGGGUAGCCGGCCUGAGAGGGUGACCGGCCACAUUGGGACUGAGAUACGGCCCAGACUCCUACGGGAGGCAGCAGUGGGGAAUAUUGCACAAUGGGCGGAAGCCUGAUGCAGCAAUGCCGCGUGCGGGAUGACGGCCUUCGGGUUGUAAACCGCUUUCGCCUGUGACGAAGCGUGAGUGACGGUAAUGGGUAAAGAAGCACCGGCUAACUACGUG
Molecule: ribosomal RNA, 468 nt
Filed under: uncultured bacterium
Lineage: Bacteria
Description: partial 16S ribosomal RNA
Rfam family: Bacterial small subunit ribosomal RNA
Source: RNAcentral